UACAGAGGUCCCAAGCGUUGUUCGGAUUCACUGGGCGUAAAGGGUGCGUAGGGGGUGAGGUAAGUCGGAUGUGAAAUCUCCGGGCUCAACCCGGAAAUGGCAUUGGAAACUACCUUGCUGGAGGAUUUGAGGGGGGAUUGGAAUACUUGGUGUAGCAGUGAAAUGCGUAGAUAUCAAGUGGAACACCAGUGGCGAAGGCGAAUCCCUGGAAAAUACCUGACACUGAGGCACGAAAGCUAGGGGAGCAAACAGG
This 253-nucleotide ribosomal RNA is filed under the name uncultured bacterium. Its description in RNAcentral is "partial 16S ribosomal RNA". It matches the Rfam family "Bacterial small subunit ribosomal RNA", at positions 524 to 776 of the family's 1533-position model. The record is from RNAcentral.